GACGAACGCUGGCGGCGUGCUUAACACAUGCAAGUCGAACGGAAAGGCCCUGCUUUUGUUGGGUUCUCGAUUGGCGAACGGGUGAGUAACACGUGAGUAACCUGCCCUUGACUUUGGGAUAACUUCAGGAAACUGGGGCGAAUACCGGAGAGGAUCUCCUGCUCCAUGGUGGUGGUUGGAAAGUUUCGGCUGUUGGGGAUGGACUCGCGGCUUAUCAGCUGGUUGGUGGGGUAGUGGCUGUCCAAGGCUUUGACGGGUAGCCGGCCUGAGAGGGUGACCGGCCACAUUGGGACUGAGAUACGGACCAGACUCCUACGGGAGGCAGCAGUGGGGAAUAUUGCACAAUGGGCGGAAGCCUGAUGCAGCAACGCCGCGUGCGGAAUGACGGCCUUCGGGUUGUAAACCGAUUUCGCCUGUGACGAAGAGUGAGUGACGGUAAUGGGUAAAGAAGCACCGGCUAACUACGUG
This 468-nucleotide ribosomal RNA is filed under the name uncultured bacterium. Its description in RNAcentral is "partial 16S ribosomal RNA". It matches the Rfam family "Bacterial small subunit ribosomal RNA", at positions 28 to 507 of the family's 1533-position model. The record is from RNAcentral.